UCCUCUAGCUAGGCAGGGUGACCAGAGAGGGCAGACAGCAGUCCUCUGUCCCAGAGUCUUCCCUGGUAGAUGCAGGUUCCAUAGCGACGUUCUCCUGCAAUGCACGCUGGUAUUCUGCAAUAGCAGGCCAUAGUCUUCCCUGGUAGAUGCAGGUUCCAUAGCGACGUUCUCCUGCAAUGCACGCUGGUAUUCUGCAAUAGCAGUCCAUGUUUUUCCUUGAGCCUGGGACAGGGAGAGCAUGAGAAAUUGAGUAU
RNAcentral lists this long non-coding RNA (254 nucleotides) under Homo sapiens (human). RNAcentral describes it as "HSALNT0344823". The record is from RNAcentral. Lineage: Eukaryota; Metazoa; Chordata; Mammalia; Primates; Hominidae.